UUCCCCAAUGGACGAAAGUCUGAUGGAGCAACCCCGCGUGAGUGAAGAAGGUUUUCGGAUCGUAAAACUCUGUUGUUGGAGAAGAAUGUAUCUGAUAGUAACUGAUCAGGUAGUGACGGUAUCCAACCAGAAAGCCACGGCUAACUACGUGCCAGCAGCCGCGGUAAUACGUAGGUGGCAAGCGUUGUCCGGAUUUAUUGGGCGUAAAGCGAGCGCAGGCGGUUUCUUAAGUCUGAUGUGAAAGCCUUCGGCUCAACCGAAGAAGUGCAUCGGAAACUGGGAAACUUGAGUGCAGAAGAGGACAGUGGAACUCCAUGUGUAGCGGUGAAAUGCGUAGAUAUAUGGAAGAACACCAGUGGCGAAGGCGGCUGUCUGGUCUGUAACUGACGCUGAGGCUCGAAAGCAUGGGUAGCAAACAGGAUUAGAUACCCUGGUAGUCCAUGCCGUAAACGAUGAGUGCUAGGUGUUGGAGGGUUUCCGCCCUUCAGUGCCGCAGCUAACGCAUUAAGCACUCCGCCUGGGGAGUACGACCGCAAGGUUGAAACUCAAAGGAAUUGACGGGGGCCCGCACAAGCGGUGGAGCAUGUGGUUUAAUUCGAAGCAACGCGAAGAACCUUACCAGGUCUUGACAUCCUUUGACCACUCUAGAGAUAGAGCUUUCCCUUCGGGGACAAAGUGACAGGUGGUGCAUGGUUGUCGUCAGCUCGUGUCGUGAGAUGUUGGGUUAAGUCCCGCAACGAGCGCAACCCUUAUUACUAGUUGCCAGCAUUUAGUUGGGCACUCUAGUGAGACUGCCGGUGACAAACCGGAGGAAGGUGGGGACGACGUCAAAUCAUCAUGCCCCUUAUGACCUGGGCUACACACGUGCUACAAUGGAUGGUACAACGAGUUGCGAGACCGCGAGGUUUAGCUAAUCUCUUAAAACCAUUCUCAGUUCGGAUUGUAGGCUG
This 950-nucleotide ribosomal RNA is filed under the name Latilactobacillus sakei. Its description in RNAcentral is "bacterial SSU rRNA". It matches the Rfam family "Bacterial small subunit ribosomal RNA", at positions 364 to 1307 of the family's 1533-position model. Lineage: Bacteria; Bacillati; Bacillota; Bacilli; Lactobacillales; Lactobacillaceae. The record is from RNAcentral.